GUCAGGAUGGCCGAGUGGUCUAAGGCGCCAGACUCAAGUUUUGGUUUUCGUGAGAGGGCGUGGGUUCAAAUCCCACUUCUGACA
RNAcentral lists this transfer RNA (84 nucleotides) under Ipomoea nil (Japanese morning glory). It matches the Rfam family "tRNA". Rfam says of the family: Transfer RNA (tRNA) molecules are approximately 80 nucleotides in length. Their secondary structure includes four short double-helical elements and three loops (D, anti-codon, and T loops). Lineage: Eukaryota; Viridiplantae; Streptophyta; Magnoliopsida; Solanales; Convolvulaceae. The record is from Rfam by way of RNAcentral.